Molecule: long non-coding RNA, 1566 nt
Filed under: Homo sapiens (human)
Lineage: Eukaryota; Metazoa; Chordata; Mammalia; Primates; Hominidae
Description: HSALNT0131290
Source: RNAcentral
CGGGGCCUCAGUGACAUCAAUCAUCAUAUGCAAGAUGAACAUUGGCUUGGUCCAGAAAGGCGGGACCUCGGUCCAGAAAGGCGGGACAACUUGAAGCCAAGACAGGAAGCAGGAAAGGGGCUUCCAGGUCACAGGUAGAAACAAAUGGUUGCAUCCUUUUGAGUUUCUGAUUAGCCUCUCCAAAGGAGGCAACAAGAGAUGCGUUUAUCUCAGUGAGCAGAAGGGUGACUUUGAAUAGAGUGGGAGGCAGGUUGGCCCUGAGCAAUUCCCAGCUUGACUUUUCCCUUUAGCUUAGUGAUUUUGGAGCCCCAAGAUUUAUUUUCCUUUCACAGCAUGUGGCGGUUCUUUAUUCUCAUAAAUGAUUUCAAAACAUUAUGCACUUGGGGGAUUUUAUAAUGAAAAAUCGCGGUGUCCUAUUAAAGCACAAAGAGGCAAAGCAGAAGCAGCAGACAGGACGUCAAAGAACCAGUGCAUGGCUGCGCCGGGCCCCGGGGCUUCCCACACGGGUUACUGUCAUCCUUCCGAAUCACUGGACUUGAAGCCCAGCAUGUUGCUGAGUUUUGCUCCAGAGACAAUUGCCAUUUGUUAUUUAAGUGACAAAGGUAACGCAUGCCGGCGGGAAGCAAUGCACAAAAUGUGAAGGUGAGUGGAGACCCUCCCCAGACCCCCCACCUCUGCCACCACCACAAACACGCACAAUCCAAGUGUAUCCAUGCUUCUGUAGACUGAUUUUUGCUAUUAUUUGUUCUUAUAAACAUGGGGUCCAUAUACCAGCUUCCGAGGGCUACCUAACAAAAUAUCACUGACCAGGUGGUAUAGACAGCAGAAGUUUGUUUUCUCCCUGCCCCAGAGGCUGGAGGUCUGAGAUCAGGGUGUGGGCAGGGCUGGUUUCUCCUGGGGCCUCCCUGCGUGGCUUGUGGACGCUGUCUCCUCCCAGUAUCCUCCUGUGGCCACCCCUCUGUGUGUCCGUGCACUCGCCUCUUCUCGUAAGGACAGUCAGAUUGGACCAGGGCCCCACCUCAUGACCUCAUUUUAGCAGACUGUGUGAGAGAACUGUUGCCCACAUUCUCACCAGACAGGCGUAUGGUUCUUUGUUCUUUUCUCAACUCUUUCUAAGGAAAAUCUCAAACAUACACAAAAGUCCAGAGAACAGAACAACGAACCAUACUCACCACCCAGCUGCGACCACCAUCAGCUUUUACUAAUUGUAUUGCAUCUGUUUCCCUGGCCAUUUUCUGGAACAUAUUUAGAACAAAUCCCUGCCAAACAUUAUGGUAUUUCACCAACAGACACCCAUACGCAUUUCUAAGGCACCAAGAGUUUUUAGCAACCUAGGUGCAAUCCCGUUAAUUCCUCAAUAUCAGCAAAGGCCACAAGGCUUCUGCUAGUGAGUGUUAGGCUGUGGAGCACUUCAGUAGGCCUCAAUUCCAUCUCCCUCUUUGCUAGCGUGGUGGGACCACCUUCAGACCUUUGCUUUUGAGGUAGGAGGUGGGACCUGAGUCCAGAGGCGGGGCUCUUGGACACAGGACCAAAUUGAAGACUAGCUGAAACAGGGAGGGGCAGAAA